CAGCCGUUGAUGUUUCCGUGUCUCUAUACUUGAAAGGAGACGUCAUGUUUGGAAGAAAAUGGCUGCGAAAUGGCUCCUGGUUCAGAGGUGGGAAGUCAGGACCACGCGGGAGCAGCGAAGGCAUCCCAGGGCUGUCUUCUACCGCAAACUCAUUUCAUGGCACACCUGUAACUCCCGUCUCAAAGUCUUCAGAACAGGAGCCUGGAAAAUGUAACCUGACAGCAGAAGAACCCGUCUGCCUCACCUUUGUGUGCUGCUAGUCAAUACUGAAUCAGCUAUGCCAUUUGUACCAAUAAAGAUUUCAAAACUGGAAA
Elgaria multicarinata webbii is the source of this 314-nucleotide long non-coding RNA. RefSeq lists it as uncharacterized. The transcript has 2 exons. The record is from RefSeq and is a predicted model, not a curated record. Lineage: Eukaryota; Metazoa; Chordata; Lepidosauria; Squamata; Anguidae.